This 1450-nucleotide ribosomal RNA is filed under the name uncultured organism. Its description in RNAcentral is "16S ribosomal RNA". It matches the Rfam family "Bacterial small subunit ribosomal RNA". The record is from RNAcentral.
CGAACGCUGGCGGCGUGCUUAACACAUGCAAGUCGAACGGAAAGGCCCUGCUUUUGUGGGGUGCUCGAGUGGCGAACGGGUGAGUAACACGUGAGUAACCUGCCCUUGACUUUGGGAUAACUUCAGGAAACUGGGGCUAAUACCGGAUAGGAGCUCCUGCUGCACGGUGGGGGUUGGAAAGUUUCGGCGGUUGGGGAUGGACUCGCGGCUUAUCAGCUUGUUGGUGGGGUAGUGGCUUACCAAGGCUUUGACGGGUAGCCGGCCUGAGAGGGUGACCGGCCACAUUGGGACUGAGAUACGGCCCAGACUCCUACGGGAGGCAGCAGUGGGGAAUAUUGCACAAUGGGCGGAAGCCUGAUGCAGCAACGCCGCGUGCGGGAUGACGGCCUUCGGGUUGUAAACCGCUUUCGCCUGUGACGAAGCGUGAGUGACGGUAAUGGGUAAAGAAGCACCGGCUAACUACGUGCCAGCAGCCGCGGUGAUACGUAGGGUGCGAGCGUUGUCCGGAUUUAUUGGGCGUAAAGGGCUCGUAGGUGGUUGAUCGCGUCGGGAGUGUAAUCUUGGGGCUUAACCCUGAGCGUGCUUUCGAUACGGGUUGACUUGAGGAAGGUAGGGGAGAAUGGAAUUCCUGGUGGAGCGGUGGAAUGCGCAGAUAUCAGGAGGAACACCAGUGGCGAAGGCGGUUCUCUGGGCCUUUCCUGACGCUGAGGAGCGAAAGCGUGGGGAGCGAACAGGCUUAGAUACCCUGGUAGUCCACGCUGUAAACGGUGGGUACUAGGUGUGGGGUCCAUUCCACGGGUUCCGUGCCGUAGCUAACGCUUUAAGUACCCCGCCUGGGGAGUACGGCCGCAAGGCUAAAACUCAAAGGAAUUGACGGGGCCCCGCACAAGCGGCGGAGCAUGCGGAUUAAUUCGAUGCAACGCGUAGAACCUUACCUGGGUUUGACAUGGAUCGGGAGUGCUCAGAGAUGGGUGUGCCUCUUUUGGGGUCGGUUCACAGGUGGUGCAUGGCUGUCGUCAGCUCGUGUCGUGAGAUGUUGGGUUAAGUCCCGCAACGAGCGCAACCCUUGUUCACUGUUGCCAGCACGUUAUGGUGGGGACUCAGUGGAGACCGCCGGGGUCAACUCGGAGGAAGGUGGGGAUGACGUCAAGUCAUCAUGCCCCUUAUGUCCAGGGCUUCACGCAUGCUACAAUGGCUGGUACAGAGAGUGGCGAGCCUGUGAGGGUGAGCGAAUCUCGGAAAGCCGGUCUCAGUUCGGAUUGGGGUCUGCAACUCGACCUCAUGAAGUCGGAGUCGCUAGUAAUCGCAGAUCAGCAACGCUGCGGUGAAUACGUUCCCGGGGCUUGUACACACCGCCCGUCAAGUCAUGAAAGUUGGUAACACCCGAAGCCGGUGGCCUAACCGUUGUGGGGGAGCCGUCGAAGGUGGGACUGGUGAUUAGGACUAAGUC